AAGAAAUUAGUUAAAUUUUAUAACAUAUAUUUGUCAAGUAUAAAUUAUCUUUUUCUAGAUAUUUCUUA
Molecule: transfer RNA, 68 nt
Filed under: Parasesarma tripectinis
Lineage: Eukaryota; Metazoa; Arthropoda; Malacostraca; Decapoda; Sesarmidae
Description: tRNA-Asp
Source: RNAcentral